RNAcentral lists this ribosomal RNA (774 nucleotides) under uncultured Halobacteria archaeon. RNAcentral describes it as "bacterial SSU rRNA". It matches the Rfam family "Archaeal small subunit ribosomal RNA", at positions 509 to 1281 of the family's 1478-position model. The record is from RNAcentral. Lineage: Archaea; Methanobacteriati; Methanobacteriota; Halobacteria.
CCUAAAGCGUCCGUAGCCGGCCGGUCAAGUUCGUCGGGAAAUCUGCCCGCUUAACGGGCAGGCGUCCGGCGAAAACUGAUCGGCUUGGGGCCAGAAGACCUGAGGGGUACGUCCGGGGUAGGAGUGAAAUCCCGUAAUCCUGGACGGACCACCGGUGGCGAAAGCGCCUCAGGAAGAUGGACCCGACGGUGAGGGACGAAAGCUAGGGUCUCGAACCGGAUUAGAUACCCGGGUAGUCCUAGCCGUAAACGAUGCUCACUAGGUGUGGCGCAGGCUACGAGCCUGCGCUGUGCCGUAGGGAAGCCGUGAAGUGAGCCGCCUGGGAAGUACGUCCGCAAGGAUGAAACUUAAAGGAAUUGGCGGGGGAGCACUACAACCGGAGGAGCCUGCGGUUUAAUUGGACUCAACGCCGGACAUCUCACCAGCACCGACAGUAGUUGUGACGGUCAGGUUGAUGACCUUACCCGAGCUACUGAGAGGAGGUGCAUGGCCGCCGUCAGCUCGUACCGUGAGGCGUCCUGUUAAGUCAGGCAACGAGCGAGACCCGCACUCCUAGUUGCCAGCAGCAUCUCGCGAUGGCUGGGUACACUAGGAGGACUGCCGCUGCCAAAGCGGAGGAAGGAACGGGCAACGGUAGGUCAGUAUGCCCCGAAUGUGCUGGGCAACACGCGGGCUACAAUGGCCGGGACAAUGGGAAGCCACCCCGAGAGGGGGCGCUAAUCUCCCAAACCCGGUCGUAGUUCGGAUUGCGGGCUGCAACUCGCCCGCAUGAAG